Molecule: non-coding RNA, 142 nt
Filed under: Bacillus safensis
Lineage: Bacteria; Bacillati; Bacillota; Bacilli; Caryophanales; Bacillaceae
Description: FMN riboswitch aptamer (RFN element)
Rfam family: FMN riboswitch aptamer (RFN element)
About the family: The RFN element is a highly conserved domain that is found frequently in the 5'-untranslated regions of prokaryotic mRNAs that encode for flavin mononucleotide (FMN) biosynthesis and transport proteins. This element is a metabolite-dependent riboswitch that directly binds FMN in the absence of proteins. In Bacillus subtilis, the riboswitch most likely controls gene expression by causing premature transcription termination within the 5' untranslated region of the ribDEAHT operon and precluding access to the ribosome-binding site of ypaA mRNA.
Source: Rfam by way of RNAcentral
UGUAUCCUUCGGGGCAGGGUGAAAAUCCCGACCGACGGUAAUAAAGCAAAUGCUUUACAGCCCGUGACCCGUUAAUUUAUUAACGGUUGAUUCAGUGAAAAGCUGAAGCCGACAGUGAAAGUCUGGAUGGGAGAAGGAUAAA